Molecule: ribosomal RNA, 446 nt
Filed under: uncultured bacterium
Lineage: Bacteria
Description: bacterial SSU rRNA
Rfam family: Bacterial small subunit ribosomal RNA
Source: RNAcentral
CCAGACUCCUACGGGAGGCAGCAGUGGGGGAUAUUGCACAAUGGGGGGAACCCUGAUGCAGCGACGCCGCGUGGGUGAAGAAGCGCCUCGGCGCGUAAAGCCCUGUCAGCAGGGAAGAAAAUGACGGUACCUGAAGAAGAAGCCCCGGCUAACUACGUGCCAGCAGCCGCGGUAAUACGUAGGGGGCGAGCGUUAUCCGGAUUUACUGGGUGUAAAGGGAGCGUAGACGGCUGGUCAAGUCUGAAGUGAAAGCCCGGGGCUUAACCCCGGAACGGCUUUGGAAACUGAGCAGCUAGAGUGCUGGAGAGGUAAGCGGAAUUCCUAGUGUAGCGGUGAAAUGCGUAGAUAUUAGGAGGAACACCAGUGGCGAAGGCGGCUUACUGGACAGUAACUGACGUUGAGGCUCGAAAGCGUGGGGAGCAAACAGGAUUAGAUACCCCAGUAUU